Molecule: ribosomal RNA, 254 nt
Filed under: uncultured bacterium
Lineage: Bacteria
Description: partial 16S ribosomal RNA
Rfam family: Bacterial small subunit ribosomal RNA
Source: RNAcentral
CACGUAGGGGGCAAGCGUUGUCCGGAUUCAUUGGGCGUAAAGAGCUCGUAGGCGGCUCAGUAAGUCGGGUGUGAAACCCUCAGGCUCAACCUGGGGACGCCACUCGAUACUGCUGUGGCUAGAGUCCAGUAGGGGAGUGUGGAAUUCCCGGUGUAGCGGUGAAAUGCGCAGAUAUCGGGAGGAACACCAGAGGCGAAGGCGACUUCCUGGACAAUUGCUGACACUCAGGCACGAAAGCGUGGGUAGCCAAAGGG